RNAcentral lists this RNase P RNA (404 nucleotides) under Paenibacillus paeoniae. Its description in RNAcentral is "Bacterial RNase P class A". It matches the Rfam family "Bacterial RNase P class A". Rfam says of the family: Ribonuclease P (RNase P) is a ubiquitous endoribonuclease, found in archaea, bacteria and eukarya as well as chloroplasts and mitochondria. Its best characterised activity is the generation of mature 5'-ends of tRNAs by cleaving the 5'-leader elements of precursor-tRNAs. Lineage: Bacteria; Bacillati; Bacillota; Bacilli; Caryophanales; Paenibacillaceae. The record is from Rfam by way of RNAcentral.
AAAGUUUGACAGACAAUCGCUGGCAGCUUGGCUGCGAGAGGAAAGUCCGGGCUCCACAGGGCAGGAUGCUGGAUAACGUCCAGUCAGCGCGAGUUGAAGGAUAGUGCCACAGAAAUGGACCGCCGAUGGCUGCCGUAAGGCAGCACAGGCAAGGGUGGAACCGUGGUGUAAGAGACCACGAGGAGCGCAGGUGACUACGUUCCUGGUAAACCCCAUCUGGAGCAAGACCGAGAGGACGCGGCAGCUUUCGAAGCUGCAGCCUUAGCCCGAGGCGCGUCCGGGUUGGUUGCUGGAGCCAUGCAGCAAUGUAUGGCCUAGAUAGAUGAUUGUCGCUUCACAGUGGGAGGGUCGUUCCCGUUUACACCACUAGAAGUACAGAACCCGGCUUACGGCAAACUUUCCGC